UUGCCCGGGGAUGGGUCCCUGACACUUGGCGAAGUAGGAGCCCUGUGUGAUCGUGCGUCUGAGUCUGGGCUGAGACCAGUCCUGGCCAGGGCAGUUACCAGGACGGUCUCCGGAGGCCGGGAUUCGCGGAGGGUCCACCAGCAGGAAGAAACCCCAAGAGGAAGAAACCUCAGACAGAUCGCCGGCGAGGCAGCGCGGGAUCCCAGCCUCAGGCGUGCGCGGACGGUGUGCGGGUGGAAACCCCCUUCCCAUGGGGUGAAGCGCAGUCUGCUCCAGAGACCCACUGUUAGGGUCGGGGAUGUCACAGAAAUUAACAGGGCAGCCAAUUCCCAUCCAGAGGGGCCCAGGAUGACCCCGAACCCUCUAGCUCAGCCCCAAGCUCGGGCCAGGGAGUGAAGCCUUUGUCCCCAAGCAACAGAGUGAGGGUCUGUCUCUAACCCGGUGGGCUCCAGUGAAAGGAAAAUGGCCUGGAGGUGCCCACAGGAGGGCGCCCUAGUUCUGAGACAGGUCUACGGCUCCCAGACUGUGUCCCCAUGAGUAACAGAGGGACACGCAGAGGGGCAUACUGAGUGCCUAUAGGGGACUCACAGACUGCAGAUGCACGCUGCGGAUCCAGAAGCCGGUCAGGUAAUGAGGUGCAGAGGUGUGGGGAAGACCUGGGUGCCUCCCUGGGUGCCAACCAGCCUAACCAGCCGGGGCCACCAAACAGAAGUGCUUCUGACAUUAACGCGACACACAGAAGGUGUGUAGGGUGGGUAGUGGAAGUGACCGCAGAGGCCUCUGGGGAUUGUAGUUUUGGAGCUAGAGAGGCAGGCAAGCAGUUGGGUUCGCCCACACGGUGUGCCUCUCACAUCUGCACAGCGCACACAACCAAGCUUAGGAGCCGACUGUUAAGAUGCCCCAGUGACACGGACAAGUUUCUCCUCUGCAACCCAAUGAGAGCUGCUGACCACGAGAGCAUCGCGGGACCGCCAAAGGAUUCUGGAAAAUGUGGUCCCGGGUGGCCAGUGUGCGCUGACCUUCACCUGAAGGUACGGCUUGAAGGAAACUUCUGGAGGGUGGGGUGGUGUUGAAGAGAAGGCACAAUUGUCACCAUUUUGUUCAACAUGGGCGUUUUCUUUGUGCAUUGAUUUGCAUUUUUAAAGGUAUUCCAUUAAAAAUAUGUUUAUCUAUUUUAA
Molecule: long non-coding RNA, 1178 nt
Filed under: Homo sapiens (human)
Lineage: Eukaryota; Metazoa; Chordata; Mammalia; Primates; Hominidae
Description: PREDICTED lncRNA (TCONS_00141774)
Source: RNAcentral